CGAACGGGUGAGUAACACGUGAGCAAUCUGCCCCUGACUCUGGGAUAAGCGCUGGAAACGGCGUCUAAUACCGGAUACGAGCUGCGAAGGCAUCUUCAGCAGCUGGAAAGAACUUCGGUCAGGGAUGAGCUCKYKGCCUAUCAGCUUGUUGGUGAGGUAACGGCUCACCAAGGCGUCGACGGGUAGCCGGCCUGAGAGGGUGACCGGCCACACUGGGACUGAGACACGGCCCAGACUCCUACGGGAGGCAGCAGUGGGGAAUAUUGCACAAUGGGCGAAAGCCUGAUGCAGCAACGCCGCGUGAGGGACGACGGCCUUCGGGUUGUAAACCUCUUUUAGCAGGGAAGAAGCGAAAGUGACGGUACCUGCAGAAAAAGCACCGGCUAACUACGUGCCAGCAGCCGCGGUAAUACGUAGGGUGCAAGCGUUAUCCGGAAUUAUUGGGCGUAAAGAGCUCGUAGGCGGUUUGUCACGUCUGCUGUGAAAACGCGAGGCUCAACCUCGCGCCUGCAGUGGGUACGGGCAGACUAGAGUGCGGUAGGGGAGAUUGGAAUUCCUGGUGUAGCGGUGGAAUGCGCAGAUAUCAGGAGGAACACCGAUGGCGAAGGCAGAUCUCUGGGCCGUAACUGACGCUGAGGAGCGAAAGGGUGGGGAGCAACAGGCUUAGAUACCCUGGUAGUCCACCCCGUAACGUUGGGAACUAGUGUGGGGGUCCAUUCCACGGAUUCGUGACGCAGCUAACGCAUAAGUUCCCCGCCUGGGGAGUACGCGCAAGCUAAACUCAAGGAA
Molecule: ribosomal RNA, 789 nt
Filed under: Microbacterium aoyamense
Lineage: Bacteria; Bacillati; Actinomycetota; Actinomycetes; Micrococcales; Microbacteriaceae
Description: bacterial SSU rRNA
Rfam family: Bacterial small subunit ribosomal RNA
Source: RNAcentral